Molecule: non-coding RNA, 67 nt
Organism: Cordylochernes scorpioides
Lineage: Eukaryota; Metazoa; Arthropoda; Arachnida; Pseudoscorpiones; Chernetidae
Source: the annotation of a GenBank genome assembly
UUCCCAUGCCGGGAAUCGAACCCGGGCAUCUUGGGACAGGUAAUCAUAGCCACUAGACCACGUGGGA